RNAcentral lists this ribosomal RNA (809 nucleotides) under uncultured bacterium. RNAcentral describes it as "bacterial SSU rRNA". It matches the Rfam family "Bacterial small subunit ribosomal RNA", at positions 75 to 882 of the family's 1533-position model. The record is from RNAcentral.
AGUAGUAAUACGAUGGUGGCGACCGGCGCACGGGUGAGUAACGCGUAUGCAACCUACCCAUAACAGGGGGAUAACUCGGAGAAAUCCGGACUAAUACCCCAUAAGACCACAGCACGGCAUCGUGCAGAGGUAAAAGCUUCGGUGGUUAUGGAUGGGCAUGCGUGUCAUUAGCUAGUUGGUGAGGUAACGGCUCACCAAGGCUACGAUGACUAGGGGGUCUGAGAGGAUGGUCCCCCACACUGGAACUGAGACACGGUCCAGACUCCUACGGGAGGCAGCAGUGAGGAAUAUUGGUCAAUGGGCGAAAGCCUGAACCAGCCAUGCCGCGUGAAGGAUGACAGCCUUAUGGGUUGUAAACUUCUUUUGUGGUAGAACAAUAAGGGGUACGUGUACUCCGAUGAGUGUAUAUCACGAAUAAGCAACGGCUAACUCCGUGCCAGCAGCCGCGGUAAUACGGAGGUUGCAAGCGUUAUCCGGAUUUAUUGGGUUUAAAGGGUGCGUAGGCGGUUUGAUAAGUCAGUGGUGAAAGUUUGCAGCUUAACUGUAAAAUUGCCAUUGAUACUGUCAGACUUGAGUACAGAUGAGGUAGGCGGAAUGUGUAGUGUAGCGGUGAAAUGCUUAGAUAUUACACAGAACACCGAUUGCGAAGGCAGCUUACUAAACUGUUACUGACGCUGAGGCACGAAAGUGUGGGGAUCAAACAGGAUUAGAUACCCUGGUAGUCCACACUGUAAACGAUGAUUACUGGAUGUUUGCGAUACACAGCAAGCGUCUCAAGCGAAAGCAUUAAGUAAUCCACCUGGGGAGUA